RNAcentral lists this long non-coding RNA (203 nucleotides) under Vigna radiata. RNAcentral's name for it is "long non-coding RNA (VRAD_LNC003654)". Lineage: Eukaryota; Viridiplantae; Streptophyta; Magnoliopsida; Fabales; Fabaceae. The record is from RNAcentral.
UUGCAUUUGCUUCAGAACAUAUUGCAUUAUUAGUUACUAGGGGAGGCUAGGGAUAGCAAGCUGAUAAUUAGUAAUAGGUUGUUUUCACCAAGGAAUUGGGCUAAGGGUAACUAAGAAAGUUUGCAUGAAAAUUAGAUAAAUAAGUGAAUUAAAUAAGAAGAGUAGAUAUAUGAGAGUGGAUAAGAUGAUAUUGUAAACCCCAA